Molecule: ribosomal RNA, 305 nt
Filed under: uncultured bacterium
Lineage: Bacteria
Description: bacterial SSU rRNA
Rfam family: Bacterial small subunit ribosomal RNA
Source: RNAcentral
AGGCCUACGGGAGGCAGCAGUGGGGGAUAUUGCACAAUGGGGGGAACCCUGAUGCAGCGACGCCGCGUGGGCGAUGGAGUACUUCGGUACGUAAAGCCCUAUCAGCAGGGAAGAAAAUGACGGUACCUGACUAAGAAGCCCCGGCUAAAUACGUGCCAGCAGCCGCGGUAAUACGUAUGGGGCAAGCGUUAUCCGGAAUGAUUAGGCGUAAAGGGUGCGUAGGCGGCCUGCUAAGUCUGGAGUGAAAGGUACCGGCUCAACCGGUACAGGCUCUGGAAACUGGCGGGCUAGAGAGCAGGAGAGGG